AGGCCUCCAAUUAGAUCGCGCUUUGAGUGAUGUCAUGUGAGCUUCCGCUAUUGCGGGACUUUGGAAAGUAGUGCGUACUAGAUUUAGUUUUUUUUCCCUCCGUGAAUCUGAUGAGAGCAGAUGGUUGUUGCUGCUCCGGGAGAUUUUAAGCUCUAAAUCCAGCGAAAACUCAUGAUUCAGAGAGAAGCCGUGUAUGUGAGAUUGAUGGUUUGGAACAUUGUCAUCUGAAUUUUCCUGUUCUUCAGAUGCACAUUGUGUGCGAGUUCCUUGGCCAGGUUUUUUUGAUGUGUUUUAUUUCCAUGUGAAUGCUGGAACGUUCGUCUGAGUGCGAUCCAUCUGCUGGUAUUCAAGUGAACUGCGAGUCAAUCCUGGAUUGUGAACCGUCUCAACUCCUCUUUGGAUGUCUUACAGUGGAGUUGGACUGGCGAGCCACCCAAGAACGAAAUCUUGUUUUCCUGUGAAAAGAGAAACCGAAACUGAAUUGUUCACCUUUGAAUGGUAGGACAGAACUGUGCAUUUUCUAAUUGGUUCAUCAGGAAGAUGAUUCCAGAACUGAACUGAACAGUUCACGGACUGUUUGAACUGAAUUAAUGGACUGAUUGGGUUCAUUGCAGAGAAAUUUGAUUUGGGAUCAUUGUGAAGUGAGAAUAAUUGUGUGUUUAUGUUAUUUUAUUUCAUUUGAAUCUGGGUAAAAUCCUA
Molecule: long non-coding RNA, 699 nt
Organism: Triplophysa dalaica
Lineage: Eukaryota; Metazoa; Chordata; Actinopteri; Cypriniformes; Nemacheilidae
Exons: 3
Source: RefSeq, a predicted model, not a curated record